AAUGAACGUUGGCGGCGUGGAUUAGGCAUGCAAGUCGAGCGAGAAGCUCCCUUCGGGGAGUGGACAGCGGCGAAAGGGAGAGUAACGCGUAGAAACGUACCCAGAGGUUUGGAAUAGCGGAGCGAAAGCCCCGGUAAUGCCGAAUAAUGUCUUCGGACCAAAGAUUUAUCGCCUCUGGAGCGGUCUGCGUUCUAUUAGUUAGUUGGUGAGGUAAUGGCUCACCAAGACGAAGAUGGAUACCGGGCGUGAGAGCGUGAUCCGGCUCACUGGGACUGAGACACUGCCCAGACACCUACGGGUGGCUGCAGUCGAGAAUCUUCCGCAAUGGACGAAAGUCUGACGGAGCGACGCCGCGUGCUGGAUGAAGGCCUUCGGGUUGUAAACAGCUGUCAUAGGGGAGGAAAUUUUGACCGAUCCUAAGAGGAAGCACAGGCUAAGUUCG
RNAcentral lists this ribosomal RNA (442 nucleotides) under uncultured Planctomycetaceae bacterium. RNAcentral's name for it is "bacterial SSU rRNA". It matches the Rfam family "Bacterial small subunit ribosomal RNA", at positions 29 to 505 of the family's 1533-position model. The record is from RNAcentral. Lineage: Bacteria; Pseudomonadati; Planctomycetota; Planctomycetia; Planctomycetales; Planctomycetaceae.